This is a long non-coding RNA of Monopterus albus (swamp eel), 1087 nucleotides long. RefSeq lists it as uncharacterized. NCBI's taxonomy places the organism in Eukaryota, Metazoa, Chordata, Actinopteri, Synbranchiformes, Synbranchidae. The transcript is spliced from 3 exons. The record is from RefSeq and is a predicted model, not a curated record.
ACGACAUAGCGCGUAAAGAUAAUAAAAAUCAUCUGUGGUGAUAAUCUACACUCAGAUUGGCCUCCAUCAGGACCUGGGAGAAUCGUAGUCUCUCUCUCUCUCUCUCUCUCUCUCUCUCUCUCUCUCCCUCCCCCCCUCACACAUACAUACACGCGCGCUUGCUUCCACCUCACAGCCAACAUUUUUAGGAUGUGAUGUCGUGACCGGAGCGAAGCAAAUGUCACACGACUCACUGGCUGCUGUCAGUCUCCUCCACAAAAACGUCAGCGUUUUGAUGGCGUUUGGCUGAAGCUGGCUCUGCUUUGGCCGCAUGCUGCUGUGGAAGGUGGUCUGUAGAGAGCUGGGGCUUCGUCGGGCUCGCUCCAGCACCUGGACAGCUCCUUUCGCAGGGUUCCCCGCUGCGCUCGCCGGGGAAACCCUCGGCUGAGGAGCGGUAUCUGGAUCUGGAUCAGCGCACGCAACCCUCAACGAUCCCAGCCAGGAGGACACUGCGCUGAAAAUGGUUAUUUGAUCUCUUAAUUGUUGACAUUUAAAAGCUAAUAAGAUCUUGCAGAGCGAUGAUGCUUCUUGCAUUUGAGCUGUUUGGUUUUGCACUGAAACCGGAGCAGCGGCAGCGCUAGUGCUCGUCCAAUGCCAACCUGCUAAGGAUAGCUGCAGCCUACACACGCUGCAAGCCUGCUUCACUUACUCUGAUCACCACCGAGGGAGACAUUACCAUCAGCAAGGGGCCAGCGGAAGGCACAGUUACCCGCCAACAAUGUAAAUCUCAUAGAGGUUCAACAUGAAAGGAGCCUCAAUCAGGUGAAAGUGCAGCAGUAACAGGCAGAGCUGAGUGGAAACUUCGUGAUCAGCACCACAUCUCUCUCCUCUCCAUCACCCAGCAUCAUGGCUCAUGCUGAGGAGGUGGAGCAGGCAGGCCUGUCGGACUUGGAGAUCAUCUCCCAGCCGGUGGAGGAUGAGAACCAGUGCUUGGCUCCUUCAGUCCAGCUGGUGAGUUUUGGCUACAGAGAUCUGCCCCUGGCGGCUCUGGACAUCUCGCUGGCAGGCUCGCAGCUCCUUUCCAAUGCAGAUGAAGACGAAAACAGGG